RNAcentral lists this ribosomal RNA (492 nucleotides) under uncultured bacterium. RNAcentral's name for it is "partial 16S ribosomal RNA". It matches the Rfam family "Bacterial small subunit ribosomal RNA", at positions 29 to 507 of the family's 1533-position model. The record is from RNAcentral.
AGUGAACGCUGGCGGUAGGCCUAACACAUGCAAGUCGAACGGCAGCACAGUAAGAGCUUGCUCUUACGGGUGGCGAGUGGCGGACGGGUGAGGAAUAUAUCGGAAUCUACUUUUUCGUGGGGGAUAACGUAGGGAAACUUACGCUAAUACCGCAUACGACCUACGGGUGAAAGCAGGGGAUCUUCGGACCUUGCGCGAUUGAAUGAGCCGAUGUCGGAUUAGCUAGUUGGCGGGGUAAAGGCCCACCAAGGCGACGAUCCGUAGCUGGUCUGAGAGGAUGAUCAGCCACACUGGAAGUGAGACACGGUCCAGACUCCUACGAGAGGCAGCAGUGGGGAAUGUUGGACAAUGGGGGCAAGCCUGAUCCAGCCAUACCGCGUGGGUGAAGAAGGCCUUCGGAUUGUAAAGCCCUUUUGUUGGGAAAGAAAAGCAGCAGGUUAAGACCCCGCUGUUCUGACGGUACCCAAAGAAUAAGCACCGGCUAACUUCGUG